RNAcentral lists this ribosomal RNA (373 nucleotides) under uncultured organism. RNAcentral's name for it is "bacterial SSU rRNA". It matches the Rfam family "Bacterial small subunit ribosomal RNA", at positions 526 to 896 of the family's 1533-position model. The record is from RNAcentral.
CGAAGGGGGCAAGCGUUGUUCGGAAUUACUGGGCGUAAAGGGCGCGUAGGCGGCUUAUCAAGUCAGGCGUGAAAUUCCCGGGCUCAACCUGGGGGCUGCACUUGAUACUGAUGAGCUUAAAUGCGGGAGAGGGAGUAGUGGAAUUCCCAGUGUAGAGGUGAAAUUCGUAGAUAUUGGGAAGAACACCGGUGGCGAAGGCGGCUAUCUGGCCCCGUAAUUGACGCUGAGGCGCGAAAGCGUGGGGAGCAAACAGGAUUAGAUACCCUGGUAGUCCUCGCCGUAAACGAUGAAUGCUAGACGUUGGCGAGCAUGCUCGUCAGUGUCGGAGCUAACGCAUUAAGCAUUCCGCCUGGGGAGUACGGUCGCAAGAUUA